AGUUCGGAUUGUAGUCUGCAACUCGACUACAUGAAGCUGGAAUCGCUAGUAAUCGCGGAUCAGAAUGCCGCGGUGAAUACGUUCCCGGGUCUUGUACACACCGCCCGUCACACCAUGGGAGUCGAUAACGCCCGAAGUCAGUGACCCAACCUGUAAGGAGGGAGCUGCCGAAGGCGGGAUUGAUAACUGGGGUGAAGUCGUAACAAGGUACC
RNAcentral lists this ribosomal RNA (212 nucleotides) under uncultured bacterium. RNAcentral's name for it is "partial 16S ribosomal RNA". It matches the Rfam family "Bacterial small subunit ribosomal RNA", at positions 1290 to 1500 of the family's 1533-position model. The record is from RNAcentral.